This 484-nucleotide ribosomal RNA is filed under the name uncultured bacterium. Its description in RNAcentral is "partial 16S ribosomal RNA". The record is from RNAcentral.
GUAGUUAGCCGGGGCUUCCUCCUUGGCUACCGUCAUUGUGUUCGUCACCAAGGACAGAGGUUUACAAUCCGAGAACCUUCAUCCCUCACGCGGCGUUGCUGGGUCAGGCUUUCGCCCAUUGCCCAAUAUUCCCCACUGCUGCCUCCCGUAGGAGUCUGGACCGUCUCUCAGUUCCAGUGUGGCCGUUCGCCCUCUCAGGCCGGCUACCCAUCGUCGCCUUGGUGGGCCGUUACCUCACCAACUAGCUAAUGGGACGCGAACUCACCCCAAACCGGAUCGCUCCUUUUACCUCAAGGCCAUGUGACCUCGUGGUCUUAUGCGGUAUUAGCACCUGUUUCCAAGUGUUAUCCCCCUGUCUGGGACAGAUUGUUCACGUGUUACUCACCCGUCCGCCGCUAGAAAAGCUCCGAAGAACUUUUCUCGCUCGACUUGCAUGUGUUAAGCACGCCGCCAGCGUUCAUCCUGAGCCAUAAUCAAACUCUGA